This 431-nucleotide ribosomal RNA is filed under the name uncultured bacterium. RNAcentral describes it as "partial 16S ribosomal RNA". It matches the Rfam family "Bacterial small subunit ribosomal RNA", at positions 29 to 506 of the family's 1533-position model. The record is from RNAcentral.
AACGAACGCUGGGGGAUUCCCUAAACAUGGCAAGUGGAAGGAGCCUUCGGGGCUUGUGGUCCACGGGUGGGUAAAGCGUGGGGAACUGGCCCUAGGUUCGGAAUAACCUCCCGAAAGGGGUGCUAAUACCGGGUAAUGUCUUCGGGCCAAAGAUUUAUUGCCUUUUGAUUGGCCCGGGUUGGAUUAGCUAGUUGGUAGGGUAAAAGCCUACCAAGGCGACGAUCCAUAGCUGGUCUGAGAGGAUGGUCAGCCACACUGGGACUGAGACACGGCCCAGACUCCUACGGGAGGCAGCAGUGGGGAAUAUUGGACAAUGGGCGAAAGCCUGAUCCAGCAAUGCCGCGUGAGUGAUGAAGGCCUUAGGGUUGUAAAGCUCUUUUACCCGGGAUGAUAAUGACAGUACCGGGAGAAUAAGCUCCGGCUAACUCCGU